RNAcentral lists this ribosomal RNA (548 nucleotides) under uncultured prokaryote. Its description in RNAcentral is "bacterial SSU rRNA". It matches the Rfam family "Bacterial small subunit ribosomal RNA", at positions 355 to 896 of the family's 1533-position model. The record is from RNAcentral.
UGGGGAAUAUUGGACAAUGGGGGCAACCCUGAUCCAGCGAUGCCGCGUGGGUGAAGAAGGCCUUCGGGUUGUAAAGCCCUUUAGGUCGGGACGAAGGUUGGUAGUUUAAGAGAUAGCCAACUUGACGGUACCGACAGAAUAAGCACCGGCAAACUCUGUGCCAGCAGCCGCGGUAAUACAGAGGGUGCGAGCGUUAAUCGGAGUUACUGGGCGUAAAGGGCGCGUAGGCGGUUAUGUGAGUGUGAUGUGAAAGCCCCGGGCUUAACCUGGGAAGUGCAUCGCAAACGACAUAACUGGAGUAUAUGAGAGGGUAGCGGAAUUUCCGGUGUAGCGGUGAAAUGCGUAGAUAUCGGAAGGAACGUCAAUGGCGAAGGCAGCUACCUGGCAUAAUACUGACGCUGAGGCGCGAAAGCGUGGGGAUCGAACAGGAUUAGAUACCCUGGUAGUCCACGCUGUAAACGAUGAAGACUAGAUGUUGCUGGGGGAACUCAGUAGUAUCGAAGCUAACACGAUAAGUCUUCCGCCUGGGAAGUACGGCCGCAAGGUUG